RNAcentral lists this ribosomal RNA (403 nucleotides) under uncultured bacterium. RNAcentral describes it as "partial 16S ribosomal RNA". It matches the Rfam family "Bacterial small subunit ribosomal RNA", at positions 30 to 526 of the family's 1533-position model. The record is from RNAcentral.
AUUGAACGCUGGCGGCAGGCCUAACACAUGCAAGUCGAGCGAGCGGCGGACGGGUGAGUAAUGUAUGGGGACUGCCCGAUAGAGGGGGAUAACUACUGGAAACGGUAGCUAAUACCGCAUACUAUCGGAUAACCCAUAUGGGAUUAGCUAGUUGGUUAGGUAAUGGCUCACCAAGGCGACGAUCCCUAGCUGGUCUGAGAGGAUGAUCAGCCACACUGGGAAUGGGACACGGCCCAGAAUCCUACGGAGGCAGCAGUGGGGAAUAGUGCAAAAUGGGCGCAAGCCUGAUGCAGCCAUGCCGCGUGUAUGAAGAAGGCCCUAGGGUUGUAAAGUACUUUCAGUCGGGAGGCGUUACCCGCAGAAGAAGCGCCGGCUAACUACGUGCCAGCCGCCGCGGUAAUAC